Molecule: ribosomal RNA, 502 nt
Filed under: uncultured bacterium
Lineage: Bacteria
Description: partial 16S ribosomal RNA
Rfam family: Bacterial small subunit ribosomal RNA
Source: RNAcentral
GAUUAACGCUGGCGGCGUGCCUAACACAUGCAAGUCGAGCGGCAGCGAGUUUUACACUGAAUUCUGGAAGCUUCUAGUUGAAAGAGAAGAUUUAUUCAAGAAUUUUGUGUAAAAUGUCGGCGAGCGGCGGACGGCUGAGUAACGCGUGGGAACGUACCCCAAAGUGAGGGAUAACGCAUCGAAAGGUGUGCUAAUACCGCAUAUGGUCUUCGGAUUAAAGCCUUCGGGCGCUUUGGGAACGGCCUGCGUAAGAUUAGAUAGUUGGUGGGGUAAUGGCCUACCAAGUCGACGAUCUUUAACUGGUUUGAGAGGAUGAUCAGUCAGACUGGAACUGGGACACGGUCCAGACUCCUACGGGAGGCAGCAGUGAGGAAUCUUCCACAAUGGGCGAAAGCCUGAUGGAGCAACGCCGCGUGCAGGAUGAAGGCCUUCGGGUUGUAAACUGCUUUUAUAAGUGAGGAUUAUGACAGUAACUUAUGAAUAAGGAUCGGCUAACUACGUG